GCCAUCGUAGCUCAGUUGGUAGAGCAGAGCUUUCGUAAAGCUCAGGUCGCUGGUUCGAGUCCAGUCGAUGGCU
RNAcentral lists this transfer RNA (73 nucleotides) under Phycisphaeraceae bacterium. Its description in RNAcentral is "tRNA-Thr". It matches the Rfam family "tRNA". From Rfam's summary of the family: Transfer RNA (tRNA) molecules are approximately 80 nucleotides in length. Their secondary structure includes four short double-helical elements and three loops (D, anti-codon, and T loops). Lineage: Bacteria; Pseudomonadati; Planctomycetota; Phycisphaerae; Phycisphaerales; Phycisphaeraceae. The record is from RNAcentral. RNAcentral also lists the same sequence under 1 other name.